CCCUACGGGGUGCCGUCGUGGCUUUGCGUGCAGGAUACCGAAGGGUUGUCGGUAAUGACGGCGUGGGCGGCCGGUAAGUUCUCAGGAGAAUCGGUGGGCACUUUUAUCAAUAAGUGCGGCAUAAAGGACAAGGUUAAGCAUCGGAAUAUCAUCAUUCCGGGCUAUGCCGCCGGCAUCAGCGGAGAGCUUGAAGAGGAGCUUGGGGGUUGGACGGUGACGGUAGGCCCACGCGAGGCAAGCCAGAUUCCCAAAUUCCUCAAAGUCUGGAAAGCCUAGCCCUGUUAUGAGAAUACUUCCCGGGAAAGGGUGAAACGGAGGGAGAAAUCAGGAUGAAGCUGAUUGGUGAGAAUCUCAAUAUUAUGAGCAAUAAAUAUGGCAAAGCGUUGAAAGAACGUGAUGCGAAGACAUUGCAGGAAUUGGCGGGGGGGC
Molecule: ribosomal RNA, 429 nt
Filed under: uncultured prokaryote
Description: partial 16S ribosomal RNA
Source: RNAcentral